UACAUUUAAGUAUAUGAUGUACAAAAGUUUUUGAUACUUUUAGGGAUAGUUUAAUUCUAUCAAAUGUAA
RNAcentral lists this transfer RNA (69 nucleotides) under Pterolophia sp. ZJY-2019. Its description in RNAcentral is "tRNA-Gln". Lineage: Eukaryota; Metazoa; Arthropoda; Insecta; Coleoptera; Cerambycidae. The record is from RNAcentral.